ACGUAGGUGGCAAGCGUUGUUCGGAAUUAUUGGGCGUAAAGGGCGCGUAGGCGGUCGGUUAAGUCAGUUGUGAAAGCCCGGGGCUCAACCCCGGAGGGUCGACUGAUACUGAUUGACUAGAGUACGGAAGAGGUAGCUGGAAUUCCCGGUGUAGCAGUGAAAUGCGUAGAUAUCGUAAAGAAGACCAGAGGCGAAAGCGAGCUUCUAGGCAGUUACUGACGCUCAUGCACGAAAGCCAAGGUAGCAAACGGGA
This 253-nucleotide ribosomal RNA is filed under the name uncultured prokaryote. RNAcentral describes it as "partial 16S ribosomal RNA". It matches the Rfam family "Bacterial small subunit ribosomal RNA", at positions 525 to 777 of the family's 1533-position model. The record is from RNAcentral.